GACGAACGCUGGCGGCGUGCUUAACACAUGCAAGUCGAACGGAAAGGCCCUGCUUUUGUGGGGUGCUCGAGUGGAGAACGGGUGAGUAACACGUGAGUAACCUGCCCUUGACUUUGGGAUAACUUCAGGAAACUGGGGCUAAUACCGGAUAGGAGCUCCUGCUGCAUGGUGGGGGUUGGAAAGUUUCGGCGGUUGGGGAUGGACUCGCGGCUUAUCAGCUUGUUGGUGGGGUAGUGGCUUACCAAGGCUUUGACGGGUAGCCGGCCUGAGAGGGUGACCGGCCACAUUGGGACUGAGAUACGGCCCAGACUCCUACGGGAGGCAGCAGUGGGGAAUAUUGCACAAUGGGCGGAAGCCUGAUGCAGCAACGCCGCGUGCGGGAUGACGGCCUUCGGGUUGUAAACCGCUUUCGCCUGUGACGAAGCGUGAGUGACGGUAAUGGGUAAAGAAGCACCGGCUAACUACGUG
Molecule: ribosomal RNA, 468 nt
Filed under: uncultured bacterium
Lineage: Bacteria
Description: partial 16S ribosomal RNA
Rfam family: Bacterial small subunit ribosomal RNA
Source: RNAcentral